Molecule: ribosomal RNA, 253 nt
Filed under: uncultured bacterium
Lineage: Bacteria
Description: partial 16S ribosomal RNA
Rfam family: Bacterial small subunit ribosomal RNA
Source: RNAcentral
UACGGAGGGUGCAAGCGUUAUCCGGAUUCACUGGGUUUAAAGGGUGCGUAGGAGGGCAGGGAAGUCCGUGGUGAAAUCUCCGAGCUUAACUCGGAAACUGCCGUGGAUACUCUCUGUCUUGAAUCCCGUGGAGAUGAGCGGAAUAUGUCAUGUAGCGGUGAAAUGCUUAGAUAUGACAUAGAACACCAAUUGCGAAGGCAGCUCGUUACACGAAGAUUGACUCUGAGGCACGAAAGCGUGGGGAUCGAACAGG